This is a non-coding RNA of Delphinapterus leucas (beluga whale), 2356 nucleotides long. The record is from RefSeq and is a predicted model, not a curated record. NCBI's taxonomy places the organism in Eukaryota, Metazoa, Chordata, Mammalia, Artiodactyla, Monodontidae.
AAAAAAAAAGAAUAAUAACUACAACGGACUACAGUGAACUAAAGUACAUCAAAUAUGUUUAAACCCGUGACUUUAUAAUGAUUUUUUUAAUUGGUCACUUUUGGAGUGUUCUAGGUAGCAAACUCAAUAAUUUGAAGACUGCUAAUAAAGAGAAAUCAACAUUUAUCCUGCCUUUCCUGUAGGAACCAUACCUGACCAUGUGGUUGAUGAGGGAAUUUCUCUUACAGAAGUAAUCCAGUAGUAAAUGAGCAGAAUGAUAGAAUUUCAAUAUCACCAUUUUGCAACCCCUAAUGAAAUCAUGGAUUAGUCAAUAAUGAUUAAGGACUGAUAACAUCACCAAAAGAGAGACAAGCAGACAUUAUGCACAUUCUGUUGGAAGUUCACAGCACUCUCUGAGAAGGAGUCCUGCAAAUAUAAACACUGAACCAGGAAAUUACCAAUGAAAUUACCAAUUUACAGGGAAUUCAUUGGACAGAGGAGCGUGUUACAUAGUACCUCAAGCAUAUAAUCAACCAAAACCAGACUGUGGGAAACUCUACAGGAGACCACGCCCUACACACAUGCGCACACACAGUUUCCUCAACAAAUACAUUUCAAGGGGAAAAAAAAAGUGGAAUUGGAAAGAGAACCUACAUGUUAAAAGAAACAUAAGAAAAAAUAUCGACCAAUAUAAUGUAUGGACUUUAUUUUAAUCCUGAUUCAGAAAAAGUAAACUCAUAAAAAGGAUAUGAGACAUUUGAGGGAAUCUGAAAAAAAAAUCUGAGGCUCCUAGAUUCCAGGCUAUUUUCCCACUGGCAUGAGCCUGGGCAUUGCUGCUAUUAUAAGUAAAAACCACUUCAGAGCCCAGAACCACGGGGUUGGGACAACUCUUCCAAUUGGCUCUUUAGGUGUCAGAAGAAGAGUCUAACAAACAAGGCCACCUCUCCCAUUCUCUCCCAGCCCCGAAGACUCCCCUGCUCCCAGGCCAACCCACCGCAGAGGGUAGAACAUUCAACUACUCAGAAUGAGGCUCCAGGCAGGCGAUUUUCUUGAGGUGCUUCUCAUUCAGGCUCUUGCCCAUCUGGAGCACAGCUUUUGGCAUCAUUCAGGAUGUGCCAAAUGAACGAGUUCUGCUUGUGUGCAGUGAGUUGAUGUCCCUGAUCCCGACUGGGCCUGCGAUUUGGAAAGGGAGGUGGUUGUGAUGCUCCAUCAAAUUCCACCACCAGCCACACCACGGACGGGAGUAACUGGAAACUAUGCAGUACGGGAUUCCAUUUCGAAAAAGGUUUUUGGACUCUGCUGUGAAGACUGGUUUGCUGGUAUGCCAGAGGCAAGAUGCUAAGAAGCCCAGCUUUGCUCACCAACUUCUGCAUCACAUCUGGUGAGGGGCGUUGGAGUCUCUCCCCAAGGUGGGGUUUGGGAGGCUUCUAAUUUCCAAAACAAAACCAGUCUUGAUCUGGCCUUACCUGGGGGCAGUUGUUGAAGUUCUGAAAAUACCCAGUACAGAGCACUUGGGCGCAGUUCUCACGGAUGCUGGCAGCCAAUACCAUCCGAGAGGCUGCUCUUGAAAAGGCCCAGCUCUCCACAUGUCCUGGAGAAACUGGAUCCCCUCUUUUUUCUCUGAGUCCCCAGAGGUCCAAGUGCCAUCCAAGAGUAACCCAGACACCACGCAAGAGAGGCCCAAUCUAGACCAAGGGAGAGGAACCGAGGCCCCCAGCCAAUAGCCAGCAUCCACUGCCAGACGUGUGAAUGAAGGAUCCUGCAGACGGAUGGUUCCAGUCUCCAGCUUUCGAGUCUUCCAGCUUCGACCCCAGACAUCAUGGAGCAGAGGCAAGCCAUCUCCACCCCCACUGCACUCCAUCCAAACUCCUGAUCCACAGAACCCAUAAAGGUAACAAAGAGUGUCAUGCCUGCUAAGUCUUGGGGUAAUCUUUUAGGCAACAUUAGAUAACCAGAACAUAGAGUGACCUUAGGAGGAGCAAGAAUGAGCAGCAUAGAAACUGAAGGAGAAAGUACCCUAGACGAGUUGAGUUAGUCAGAUGGAAUGGCAUUAAAUGUGGAAAGCGUUACUAGCCUCGACCACAUGGUUUCUAACCUUGUCCUGCUGUGAAAUUGUCCCCUCAAAGACCACCAACAACCUCCCAACUGACUAAAGUCAAAAACACCUCACCUUUUUCUCCAUACUCAUUCUCCUUCAACUUCUUUCUUGACUUCCAGUCUUAAUAUAAGGUCAACUACCACACGGACAUGCUUCUCUACCGGCCUCUGCUUUGCUUUACUCAUUGGUUCCUCUUCCCCCUCCCACCUUCCCACUAGGCUGUAACCAACUUACUUUCCAAAGGCUUGCUCCCCUCUCUCUAUCCAUGGCCCUCAAAGA